This 374-nucleotide ribosomal RNA is filed under the name uncultured organism. RNAcentral's name for it is "bacterial SSU rRNA". It matches the Rfam family "Bacterial small subunit ribosomal RNA", at positions 526 to 896 of the family's 1533-position model. The record is from RNAcentral.
CGUAGGGUCCAAGCGUUAUCCGGAAUCACUGGGCGUAAAGCGUGCGUAGGUGGCGCGUUAAGUGUGAUGUUAAAUCGUGUGGCUCAACCAUAUCGAUGCAUCGCAUACUGGCGUGCUAGAGGACAGCAGAGGCAAGUGGAAUUUGUAGUGUAGCAGUGAAAUGCGUAGAUAUUACAAGGAACACCAAUGGCGAAGGGCAGCUUGCUGGGCUACUCCUGACACUGAGGUACGAAAGCGUGGGGAGCGAACAGGAUUAGAUACCCUGGCAGUCCACGCCGUAAACGAUGCAUACUAGUCUUAUGGGGUAUCGACCCCCUGUGAGACGCAGCUAACGCGAUAAGUAUGCCGCCUGGGAAGGUACGGCCGCAAGGCUA